AUCCUCACGUAGAAAACUUGAGUUCCGUAUCAACACAGUUCUGACUCCUCAUGCCUGACUGCAGGCUGGGAAACACCCACUGUGCUAACUUCUUGAAGCUGUUGAAUAUCAGAUAUUCCAGAUGCCGUACCAUCAUUACAACUGGUCACUUACCCACUUCAAAGAGUGACUGAAAUAUGAGAUGGCAACACUUUUGGCAGAGUCCUGUUGAAAUAUGCAAAGCCACCAAGAUUGCCAAGAUGGUAAAAAAGAAAUUAGAGGU
This is a long non-coding RNA of Mastomys coucha (southern multimammate mouse), 262 nucleotides long. RefSeq lists it as uncharacterized. The record is from RefSeq and is a predicted model, not a curated record. Lineage: Eukaryota; Metazoa; Chordata; Mammalia; Rodentia; Muridae. The transcript has 3 exons.